Pseudopipra pipra is the source of this 2532-nucleotide long non-coding RNA. RefSeq lists it as uncharacterized. Lineage: Eukaryota; Metazoa; Chordata; Aves; Passeriformes; Pipridae. The transcript is spliced from 2 exons. The record is from RefSeq and is a predicted model, not a curated record.
CCCCCAGGCAUUUCCAUGGGAAUGGCCGCACGGGGCCCCGGGCACCCACAAUGGUGCUGUCGCCGGCAAAGCCCGGAGCUGGAGCGCGGCCAGGGCGCGGGGCCGGGCCGCCCCCGGCCCUGGGUGCCUGCAGGGCCCGGAGCUGGGCCGCCCUCCUCGGCCCCGUCCACACACCCGCAGCCGCCUCUCCUCCUGGUUUUCUGUCCCACCUGCGGCUCCAGGCCGGCCCAGCCCCCUCGGUUUUCAUUGAGACAUUUUAUCCCCCCGCAGAUUCCUGGGCCCCAGCCGCCCCCUGCCCCACCUGCCUGCUUUUGAAAGCAUGUGCCCUCUGGCCGAAACCACAGCCACAGCGUUCCCACCGCCACCUCCCCAGCCCGGGGGAGCCCCUCUCCCUCACCUCCCUGGGACAUCCCUCCGGGGCAGGGUCUGGCCCAGGAACACUCAGGUCUCCCCCAUUUCACGGCUGCUUUAGAGCACGGAGGCCCCCGAGCCACUCGCAGCAGCCCAGCCUGCCUCAGGUACCCCAUUUAGUAUCAAUUGCUGAUUUGACAAGUGCCUGUCCACUCCAGCCGUCUCCCACGGAUCCCCAGCUGCUCGCUCUCAAUGGGAUUUUAUUACAGUUGCAGACAUGCCCCAACUCAGACAUUUCUAAGAAUGUUUUUGCAGGACUGGCACUUUCAGAUCUCCCUCUCCCUGACCUCUCUGGUGACAGCCUCAGGCAACGGGGGCUCAGCCUGGGAGACUCCCAGGGACACCCACCAGGGCUUGAGACUUUAUCCUGGUACCAAAGCACCCACGGUGAACAGCCCCAAGAGACCCCCAUGCUCCCAGCCACUUCUGCCCAGGUGCUGGGCAGGCUGCAGGCAGACCCCAGCCUUGCCCUGCGGGGUGAUGGCAGUAACCAGCAUGGGAAAUUGCUGCCUCAGCCCAAGCACCCUGCCCACUGCUCAGCCAGGCUGGCCUUUUCACACUGAAACGAUCUGGGAAAGAAGAGACCCAAGCUGAGAUGAGACACUGACUCAACCCAUAAUUAUCUGAAACCAUCGCCAGCCCUUUCAGCCCUUCCCAUUGCAGAGCAGCAUCGACAAGCAGAAACCACGAGCAUCAGCAUCAAAUAUCAAGUUGUCACAGCUACCUGGGCUGAGGACAAACUGAUGUGCCGCUCUGCAGAAAGAACAACAUCAAAAUCGUUCCCAUUUCCAGCCACAGCAAAUGAGAAACCCAGCUGAAAGACUCAGAAGAUGCCCUCGAUGUAGGAGCAUCUGCAAAGCCUCAGUGGCAGACCAGGCCCUGCUGUGCAAGGUCCUCUACAAACACUCACAGGGAUAUCCUGCCGGAGACACAGCACUUGGAGCCUGAACAGGCAGAAAAACCUACAGGAGGGACAACAAAACAUCAAGAUAAUAACAGUCAGCAGGUCUCAGUGGCUCAGAGAGUUAAGGAAAUAACAACAAAUGAGUUAUUUUAAAGAAAUAUAUAUAUUUUUUAAGGAACGGCAUUUGUUUUCAGGGAGAGCAAGCUCAAGUGGGAAAGCAACCUGGAAGAAACAGGAAGGUGUUAAUUUGCAAUGCAAACAGGUGUGUGAAACCCAGAGGAGGUGGGAGGGCGAGAUGAUACUACUGCAUGGGGUGGGCUGGGAAGAAUCUUGAAAAUGAAAACCAGCCAGAAUAACAGCUGGAAAUGACCCAUGCAUCUUGCCAUAUGCUAUGAUGGACAUGAUUGUAAAACCCUUUCAAUUAUAUUUUCUGUGUCCUGCCAUUUCAUGCCCCAAGAAAACAAAUAAAGUGUCACAGCAUUUGGGAAGAUAAAUGGAAAGGAUUAUAUUUGCCUUGGUCAAAGAAUAGGACUUCGUAUUUAUAUGCAGGCAAAAUGCCACCAGAUGAAGCUUUUUACAGGACACCUCAGGAGCUUACUGUACCACCAAACAACCCUGCUGUACUCCCAGCCUUAGCUAUAGCUGAAUUGCAGUCACACCAUGUGUCUGGCUCCAGCUCACCAAAACAGAGCUGGGGAUGUCCAGCACUGCUGGCAAACACAGCAGCUCCCCACGCUCCACCAGGCGAACCCCAGGCGAGUAAAUCUAGAUCAGGCCCUUACAGAAAGUGCCCAGCGGCAAGGAUUCAGACAACACUCGUGAGAUUGCCAGCUCCAUGACACCCUUCUUCGGCAAGUCUCAAGUCCCUGCCUAUGGGAGGGAAAUUAAAGCCUUCCCUGCACAGAUUUUAAGCUCACAGUAGUCAUCAGCUCAGCUUGGCUGACCUGGCAUAAUGCUGGGUACUAGUUCUACUCACACUGUAUCAGUAUUUGCAUUAUUUUGAAAACUCAUACUAAUUAAUUCUCCUCUGGUCUUCCUGGUCUUUCUGAAUAUUUCAAAAUUCAUUCAAAACCAAGGCUACAUUGCAGUCAAGUAUCUUAGGACUUUUGCAGUUUAUCACUAGUCUAGCAUCCUCCUUCAGCAAUGAACUCAAAAGUCCUGCUUCUUUCCAAACACUCGUAGUUCAAAAUUUUCAAAUACAGAAUUUAUUUUUAACA